GUUACUAUCAGAAUUCAGUUUGUAUUGUAAGUGGACAUAAAUUAUCUUCAGCUGAGUCAUAUAGUUAUUAUAGGAUUUCAUAUAUUGAGAUAUUAUAAAUGAUCCAACCAGAAAGUACCUGAAAUAAUACACUGAGGCAACGAAGAGGCGGUGGUCAUCUCACGAAUACCAUCUAAUGUGAUUAUGUAAAGCUUGUUUUCAAGUUGGUUUUACUACAAUACUUUUAUUUGAAACUGGGCACAUCAGACAUUGUUAUAUGACAGACUUGGUCACAUCAUACGACUUUUUACUGCAAUAUAAUCAAAUAUAAUUAUUUUUAUUGAAAAAUAUUUUUUUUUUCAGCGUUAGAAUAAUUUAAUUUUAAGAUGCAUGUUAUAAAUGAAAUUAUUUUUCACAGCUUUGCAAACACGCAAAACUGUAAGUGGAUAUAAAUUAUCUUCAGCUGAGUCAUGCAGUUAUUAUAGAAUUUCAUACGAUGGUAAAAUAUUAUUUUGAAUAACUUUAGAAAUAAGUUUUUGAAUCAUUAUAUCAAAUCUAAAAAUUAUUUUACAUUUUAUUUAUUAAAUAAAAUACACCUAA
Long non-coding RNA from Daktulosphaira vitifoliae (grape phylloxera), 579 nucleotides. RefSeq lists it as uncharacterized. The transcript has 3 exons. The record is from RefSeq and is a predicted model, not a curated record. Lineage: Eukaryota; Metazoa; Arthropoda; Insecta; Hemiptera; Phylloxeridae.